Molecule: ribosomal RNA, 468 nt
Filed under: uncultured bacterium
Lineage: Bacteria
Description: partial 16S ribosomal RNA
Rfam family: Bacterial small subunit ribosomal RNA
Source: RNAcentral
GACGAACGCUGGCGGCGUGCUUAACACAUGCAAGUCGAACGGAAAGGCCCUGCUUUUGUGGGGUGCUCGAGUGGCGAACGGGUGAGUAACACGUGAGUAACCUGCCCUUGACUUUGGGAUAACUUCAGGAAACUGGGGCUAAUACCGGAUAGGAGCUCCUGCUGCAUGGUGGGGGUUGGAAAGUUUCGGCGGUUGGGGAUGGACUCGCGGCUUAUCAGCUUGUUGGUGGGGUAGUGGCUUACCAAGGCUUUGACGGGUAGCCGGCCUGAGAGGGUGACCGGGCACAUUGGGACAGAGAUACGGCCCAGACUCCUACGGGAGGCAGCAGUGGGGAAUAUUGCACAAUGGGCGGAAGCCUGAUGCAGCAACGCCGCGUGCGGGAUGACGGCCUUCGGGUUGUAAACCGCUUUCGCCUGUGACGAAGCGUGAGUGACGGUGAUGGGUAAAGAAGCACCGGCUAACUACGUG